UACGAAGGGGGCUAGCGUUGCUCGGAAUUACUGGGCGUAAAGGGAGCGUAGGCGGACAGUUUAGUCAGAGGUGAAAGCCCAGGGCUCAACCUUGGAAUUGCCUUUGAUACUGACUGACUUGAGUACGGGAGAGGUGUGUGGAACUCCGAGUGUAGAGGUGAAAUUCGUAGAUAUUCGGAAGAACACCAGUGGCGAAGGCGACACACUGGCCCGUUACUGACGCUGAGGCUCGAAAGCGUGGGGAGCAAACAGG
RNAcentral lists this ribosomal RNA (253 nucleotides) under uncultured bacterium. RNAcentral describes it as "partial 16S ribosomal RNA". It matches the Rfam family "Bacterial small subunit ribosomal RNA", at positions 524 to 776 of the family's 1533-position model. The record is from RNAcentral.